CAGCACCUCAAGUGGUCAGGAUGAUUAUUGGGCCUAAAGCAUCCGUAGCCGGCUCUGUAAGUUUUCGGUUAAAUCUGUACGCUUAACGUACAGGCUGCCGGGAAUACUGCAGAGCUAGGGAGUGGGAGAGGUAGACGGUACUCGGUAGGAAGGGGUAAAAUCCUUUGAUCUAUUGAUGACCACCUGUGGCGAAGGCGGUCUACCAGAACACGUCCGACGGUGAGGGAUGAAAGCUGGGGAGCAAACCGGAUUAGAUACCCGAGUAGUCC
This 269-nucleotide ribosomal RNA is filed under the name uncultured archaeon. RNAcentral's name for it is "partial 16S ribosomal RNA". It matches the Rfam family "Archaeal small subunit ribosomal RNA", at positions 477 to 747 of the family's 1478-position model. The record is from RNAcentral.